Non-coding RNA from Ancylostoma ceylanicum, 46 nucleotides. NCBI's taxonomy places the organism in Eukaryota, Metazoa, Nematoda, Chromadorea, Rhabditida, Ancylostomatidae. The record is from Rfam.
CCAACGGCCCUCUUUAGGGCCACACAACAGAUUCGAAUACGUGUGC